CGGCGAAGGGUGAGUAACACGUAACCAACGUACCCCUCAGAUCGGGAUAACCACUGGAAACGGUGGAUAAUACUGAAUGGUCCUAGGAAGGACAUCCUUCCGAAGGUAAACGGCGGCUUCGGCUGCUGUUGAGGGAGCGGGUUGCGUCCUAUCAGCUUGUUGGUGAGGUAACGGCUCACCAAGGCUAUGACGGGUAGCGGGUCUGAGAGGAUGAUCCGCCACACUGGGACUGAGACACUGCCCAGACUCCUACGGGAGGCUGCAGUCGAGAAUCUUCCACAAUGGGCGAAAGCCUGAUGGAGCGACGCUGCGUGUAGGAUGAAGGCCUUAGGGUUGUAAACUACUGUCACGCUAUAGGAACCCGUGUAGGUUAAUAGCCUGCGCGCUGACCAAAGCGAGAGGAAGUGCCGGCUAACUCCGUGCCAGCAGCCGCGGUAAGACGGAGGGCGCAAGCGUUGUUCGGAAUCACUGGGCAUAAAGGGCGCGUAGGCGGCCAGCUCAGUCGGAUGUGAAAUCCCCCGGCCCAACCGGGGAACUGCAUUCGAUACUGACUGGCUAGAGGAUGGUAGGAGCCAAUGGAACUCCAGGUGGAACGGUGAAAUGUGUAGAUAUCUGGAGGAACACCGGUGGCGAAAGCGAUUGGCUGGGCCAUUUCUGACGCUGAGGCGCGAAAGCUAGGGGAGCGAACGGGAUUAGAUACCCCGGUAGUCCUAGCCGUAAA
Molecule: ribosomal RNA, 721 nt
Filed under: uncultured Planctomycetota bacterium
Lineage: Bacteria; Pseudomonadati; Planctomycetota
Description: bacterial SSU rRNA
Rfam family: Bacterial small subunit ribosomal RNA
Source: RNAcentral